CUGUAAAUUCCACUCUGCUGCAGUCGCCAGACCGCGGCCGGUUUGUUAGUCUUGUCAUUACUUUCGAACUGUUCUGUUUGGUGUUUUUGUAGAUUUUUUUUCGCUUUGCUCGACUUUUAUUAGUUUGGUGAAUUCGACUCAGUAUUUAAAUUGUUUGAUAUAUUUUUUAAUUAAUUAACACAUAAAUGUCGAAAAUUUUAUAUAAAAAAAAAAAUAAUACAUUGUAUUGAGUGCAGUGUGCGGGCGAUUGUCCAUUUUGCUGGAAGUCUAACUUCAAAUAUUUCAAAGAAGUAUUACUAAAAACAUCAAAACCGUCACCGUUGCAUAUGGCGGGCGUCAAUAACGUAAGUACAUAUGAUAAUGCACCAGAAAAUUCCAAUAACACAGUUGAGCAAACUAACAAGGCUAAUAAUUCAGACGAUAAAGAUGAUUCGUUGCAGAACGUCAUUGACAAUGAGCUGUCCAAACGUUUUAACGAAAGUGAAACUCCAGCCAAUCGUGUUAAAUACAGUGUAGACAUAAUGCUAACUGCAGAAUCAAUUCAUAGUGACAGUAUUAGACAGUCCAAUGACGUGGAAUACGUAGACCUCAAGUCUUUACAAUCAAAUGAAUACCAAGUCCAAAAAGACACUAGUGAGCUUUUUCUAUUGACAGAAAAACAACAUACAGAAGAGACAAGUGAUACGGGUCUCGGUUCUGAAAUCGUUUUAGAACUGGAGCAAGAUAUCGAUAAUGAUGGUCCACUAUCUGAUACUAUGAGUAGUGGAUUCGAAGAAGAUGGUAUCCUAAAAGAGGUUGUGGACCAAGAUCCUUCUCGUGCAGAAUUAGAGGAACCUCGUAUUUUUACUAGACCCUUACCGGUUGACGAGGCGGAUAAUGUAACUGAAUUGGUAUUUGAUACUUGGACCACGGUUGAUGAGAUGGUUGGAUUAGAAAUCAAAAAAAACGAAUCAAAUGGUUUUGAAGAAAAUUCAGCCAUUGAAAUCAGUACUGCUAGUCUUAACCAAGAGUGUUUUGAUAUUAAUACACCAGUCAUAACUAACAGUGUUACCGAGGUAGUGUCGGAAACGACAACCGAACGCAGAACAGUAAAGAAAAAGUCGUCUGCAGCCAGUGGUGAGGCAUCUACCACGGUUGUCAAAACCAAAAAGACCAAAAAGUCGAAAAAAUCUGACGAGAAAGAAAAUAUUUCCGUAAAUUUAAAUGGCCAUUUGACAAAUGAAAUGAAAUAUGGUCAAUGUGACGAUUAUAUUGUCGAAGAAGAUGAUUUAUCUAACGUAUGCGUUCGAGACCUUAAAAAAUCCUAUUGCGAUGAAGCUAGUCGAAAGUCUUCCUCCGUUAUUAUACCAGAGGAACCUGUACCCGCUUCUAUUCCUGUAGAUGAAUUGAAACGAAAUUUUGUUGGUGCCAUCAAGAAACAACCAUCCGGAUGUGAAAACGGAAUGAUAAACGGUUGUUCGAAAUCGAGUUUUGGAAAAUUUGAUCAGUUGGAAAAAAAAAUUAUCCUUCAACAAAGAUCUCCUACAGAAUCUGAAAAAAUCGACACUAAACAAAAUGGUGUUAUACGUCCGGAAGUUAAUUCUGUAUGUAAAUCAUGUGAAAAGACUGUGUAUGCUAUGGAACAAAUAAAGGCGGAACGCCAAGUUUGGCACAAGAACUGUUUCCGGUGCACAACAUGCAAUAAACAGUUGACACUCGAUAUUUAUAGUAGCCACGAAGGUAUAUUGUACUGUAAACCGCAUUUCAAGGAGUUAUUUAAGCCUAAAGUAGUAGUUGAAGACGAAGAACCAAUUAGACGCAAGAAACCAGAAAUGAUAAUACGUGAAAAUCAACCCUUGGAAUUACCACCAGACGUGGUUAGAGCAAGUGAUAAACCGGAUUUGGGUUUAGAAGAAUUGAGCUCUUUAAAUGUAAAAUCCCGUUUUCAAGCUUUUGAAAACGCUACCACCAAUGGUAACAGUCACAUGGAAAAAUCUCCUGUCAGUGUUAAACGUUCACCAAGUAUAUUGAGUAAAUUAGCUAAAUUUCAAUCUAAAGGAAUGGAUGUUGGAGUUGCCAAUGAUGAUCUGAACGGCGCAUUCUUUGAGCCCUCGUCAAGCAGUGAAGAUGAAGAUGAAGAUCCUGGGAAUGAUGUGUUAAAGAAUAGUAUUUCUAAAGAAAAACCAAUAAGUUUUGACAAGAUGGAGUCCGUUAAACGUAACUGGGAAAUGCGCCGCGAAGAAAUGAAAGAGGAACAUAAACAAGAAAUUCAAAACAUAAGGUCUAAAUUAUUUGCGGGAAAGCAAGGAAAAAUGAAACAAAUGUAUGAACAGGCUGUAGCUGAAAGUGAACGUACUGGUAUUAAACGAGAUAUCAAUAUUAACAAGUCUGACAAAGCUAAAGUAAUUAAAGAAAAGUUUGAAAGGGGUGAAAUAAUAAAUGCUGAAAAUAGUGAUGUUGACGAAAACAAUGUGAAUGGAUCAGUAAAUGAUGAUGAAGAUGAAAUGAGUGUUUUCGAAGCUGGAAUCUCUAAGAAAUCUCGAAGUCUAUUCAUGGAAUUGGAUGCUAAUGCUGUUAAGACUAAACAGGCUGCUCCAAUUGUGAAUACAAAGAAAGAGUAUAUUCCUAUAAAACAGGUUACACCAGUAUACAGUCGUCAAGUGUCUGAUGAUGUGGUCAAAUGCAGUGACCGCAUCGAGGACGUUUCAGUGGAAACAGCUGAAGUUUCUUCAAAGUUUAAAUUCUUUGAAACAUACAAGCCUCCUGUUGUCAUUAAGAAACAGUUCCGAAUUACACCCCCACGAGAAGGCCAAAUUAAGGGAGAAUCUCCAGAACGUGAUAUUUAUCGCGAUCCAAAUGUGGUCCGCAGUGAAGACCCAAUUGAUGAGACAGCGGAACUAGUCAAAAGUAAUACGACCGCUAAGAUGUUGUCCUUGUUUAGACAAAUGGAAGUUGCCAGACCAGCUGUACCUGAAGGUCUCAAACCACUUAAACGCUUUACUCCUCCACCACCAGACCUUAAAGAAUCGGAAACAGAAUCAGAGUCUGAUGACGAUGUGAGUGGUGAAGAUGACAGUGAUGAAGAAGAGUCUUCAAGUAGUGAAACCAAUGGUGAUGUUGUAAAAUCAUCUCUAAAAGUGGAAGAUGAAUUUUUGAAAAAUUCUCAAAGCGCAGUAAUGGCCAAGUCAUUGAAAGAUAAAUUUGAACAUUGGGAACCAGACAAGCAUUCAAUGAAUAAUGCUGUUACAAUGCUUGAUUCAGAACAAGAAAGCAUUGAAUCGACCAAAUCCUUGCGUGCUCGUUUUGAAUCUCUGAAAGGUGAUCGUCCAGCUGAUAAGCCCAAACCAAAAGUUAACAGAUUCGUGGCCAAUGCUAAUAUGUCGACAGUCGGACGAAAAAAAGACAUUUAUUGGGACUUUUUUUACUAACGUCUGACAUGGUGACAUAGACACAAAAAUUAUUAUUCUUAAUCGAUUAUUAUUAGGUAAAUGACAUGAAAAUUUCUGGAUUAUUGGAAGUCCAGUUUAUGUGGUAAACUAAUAACUGAAGCUCUGUACACCCCAUGGACUUCGUUAGUGUACAUACAAAUAUAAAUUAAAAAAAUUACUUGAAACUACAUAUACGUAUAUUAUCUAACAUAAAUAUUAUUUGUUUGGAUUUAAUUUUAUACUCUUCUAAAAACAAUAAUAAUAUAGGCACAUAAUCAAAAAUAUUGUAUAAUUUAUUUGAAAAUAAAAGUUACUUAGUAAGUAAAAAAAAAAAUUAACGCAAUAUUCUUGUUCAAUUUUAUAUUUAAUUUUUCUGUUUUGAAGUGAUAUUCGAAUACACUUUUAAAUUCAUUUCGGUAUCACAUUUUUGUUAUGUUUACAAUUAUAAGUUUAUCCUAUCGCUGGAUUUUGAAUGUUUUUUUUUUUUUUGUAUAAAUCUUUAUCUUCAAUUGUCGUUUUAGUUUUGUGUAAAUUACAUUCUCUCUUGGCCCUUGCCAACAUUUUACAGAUAAGUGGAACAUAAAUAGUAACGAUUUUUCCCGUUUUAAGUUUUAAAACAAAUGAAAAAAAUAGUGAUACAUCGCUAAUAUUGUUGCGAAGUGAUUGAAUUUUAAAUUUUAGAAGGAGAACAUAACUUAUUAUUAUCGUUAUAUACUUGUGAAUUUUUUUUAGUUUUAAAUCCAUACAUGAAUAUAUGAACAUAAUUAUUA
This 4177-nucleotide unclassified non-coding RNA is filed under the name Rhopalosiphum maidis (corn leaf aphid). RNAcentral describes it as "f-actin-monooxygenase MICAL3, transcript variant X8". The record is from RNAcentral. Lineage: Eukaryota; Metazoa; Arthropoda; Insecta; Hemiptera; Aphididae.